UUUCCGUAGGUGAACCUGCGGAAGGAUCAUUAAAGUUAUAGUCCCCCGGCCCUCUAGGCUGGGGUCUUCUAUACCACCCUUUGUUUAUUACACCUUUGUUGCUUUGGCAGGCCUGCCCUCGGGCUGCUGGCUCCGGCCGGCUCGCGUCUGCCAGAGGAUCUAAACUCUGUUUGUAUAUGAAGUCUGAGUACUAUAUAAUAGUUAAAACUUUCAACAACGGAUCUCUUGGUUCUG
RNAcentral lists this unclassified non-coding RNA (234 nucleotides) under plant metagenome. Its description in RNAcentral is "partial contains small subunit ribosomal RNA, internal transcribed spacer 1, and 5.8S ribosomal RNA". The record is from RNAcentral.